UGGGCCAGUGAUGACAACUGGUGACAAGAGUCCAGGAGGAUGAAAAUACACGUGUGAAACUCUGAGAUCCAA
RNAcentral lists this small nucleolar RNA (72 nucleotides) under Vicugna pacos (alpaca). RNAcentral's name for it is "Small nucleolar RNA SNORD113/SNORD114 family (ENSVPAG00000017421.1)". It matches the Rfam family "Small nucleolar RNA SNORD113/SNORD114 family". Rfam says of the family: The imprinted human domain at 14q32 contains two clusters of tandemly repeated small nucleolar RNAs named 14q(I) and 14q(II) snoRNAs. These two clusters are named SNORD113 and SNORD114 respectively in the HGNC approved gene symbol nomenclature. The snoRNAs found in both clusters are clearly related and are represented here by a single family. The record is from RNAcentral. Lineage: Eukaryota; Metazoa; Chordata; Mammalia; Artiodactyla; Camelidae.